This 419-nucleotide ribosomal RNA is filed under the name uncultured Gemmatimonas sp. RNAcentral describes it as "bacterial SSU rRNA". It matches the Rfam family "Bacterial small subunit ribosomal RNA", at positions 355 to 774 of the family's 1533-position model. The record is from RNAcentral. Lineage: Bacteria; Pseudomonadati; Gemmatimonadota; Gemmatimonadia; Gemmatimonadales; Gemmatimonadaceae.
UGGGGAAUCUUGCGCAAUGGUCGAAAGACUGACGCAGCGACGCCGCGUGUGGGAGGACGCCUUUCGGGGUGUAAACCACUGUUGCCCGGGACGAACUGCUCGAUUCGUCGAGCUUGACGGUACCGGGUGAGGAAGCACCGGCUAACUCCGUGCCAGCAGCCGCGGUAAUACGGAGGGUGCGAGCGUUGUCCGGAAUCAUUGGGCGUAAAGGGCGCGUAGGUGGCCCGGUCAGUUCGUGGUGAAAGCGCGGGGCUCAACCCCGCGUCGGCCAUGAAUACUGCUAGGCUUGAGCACUGUAGAGGCAGGCGGAAUUCCGGGUGUAGCGGUGGAAUGCGUAGAGAUCCGGAAGAACACCGGUGGCGAAGGCGGCCUGCUGGGCAGUAGCUGACACUGAGGCGCGACAGCGUGGGGAGCAAACA